GAUGAACGCUAGCGGCAGGCUUAAUACAUGCAAGUCGUGGGGCAGCAGCUUUAUAGCAAUAUAGAGGCUGGCGACCGGCAAACGGGUGCGGAACACGUACUGAACCUUCCUUUAAGUGGGGAAUAGCCCAGAGAAAUUUGGAUUAAUACCCCGUAACAUAUAAAAGUGGCAUCACUUUUAUAUUAAAGCUCCGGCGCUUAAAGAUGGCAGUGCGGCUGAUUAGGUAGUUGGCGGGGUAACGGCCCACCAAGCCUACGAUCAGUAACUGGUGUGAGAGCACGACCAGUCAAACGGGCACUGAGACGCGGGCCCGACUCCUACGGGAGGCAGCAGUAAGGAAUAUUGGUCAAUGGACGGAAGUCUGAACCAGCCAUGCCGCGUGGAGGAUGAAGGUCCUCUGGAUUGUAAACUUCUUUUAUCUGGGACGAAAAAGGGCUUUUCUAAGUCAACUGACGGUACCAGAUGAAUAAGCACCGGCUAACUCCGUGCCAGCAGCCGCCGUAA
This 504-nucleotide ribosomal RNA is filed under the name uncultured bacterium. RNAcentral describes it as "partial 16S ribosomal RNA". It matches the Rfam family "Bacterial small subunit ribosomal RNA", at positions 28 to 523 of the family's 1533-position model. The record is from RNAcentral.